This 468-nucleotide ribosomal RNA is filed under the name uncultured bacterium. RNAcentral's name for it is "partial 16S ribosomal RNA". It matches the Rfam family "Bacterial small subunit ribosomal RNA", at positions 28 to 507 of the family's 1533-position model. The record is from RNAcentral.
GACGAACGCUGGCGGCGUGCUUAACACAUGCAAGUCGAACGGAAAGGCCCUGCUUUUGUGGGGUGCUCGAGUGGCGAACGGGUGAGUAACACGUGAGUAACCUGCCCUUGACUUUGGGAUAACUUCAGGAAACUGGGGCUAAUACCGGAUAGGAGCUCCUGCUGCAUGGUGGGGGUUGGAAAGUUUCGGCGGUUGGGGAUGGACUCGCGGCUUAUCAGCUUGUUGGUGGGGUAGUGGCUUACCAAGGCUUUGACGGGUAGCCGGCCUGAGAGGGUGACCGGCCACAUUGGGACUGAGGUACGGCCCAGACUCCUACGGGAGGGAGCAGUGGGGAAUAUUGCAGGAGGGGCGGAAGGCUGAUGAAGCAACGCCGCGUGCGGGAUGACGGCCUUCGGGGUGUAAACCGCUUUCGCCUGUGACGAAGCGUGAGUGACGGUAAUGGGUAAAGAAGCACCGGCUAACUACGUG